GGAGGAAAGUAGGGGAUCGAAAGACCUUGCGCUAAAGGAGCGGCUGAUGUCUGAUUAGCUAGUUGGUGAGGUAAAGGCUCACCAAGGCAACGAUCAGUAGCCGGUCUGAGAGGACGGCCAGCCACACUGGGACUGAGACACGGCCCAGACUCCUACGGGAGGCAGCAGUGGGGAAUUUUGGACAAUGGGCGAAAGCCUGAUCCAGCCAUGCCGCGUGAGUGAAGAAGGCCUUCGGGUUGUAAAGCUCUUUUAGUCGGAAAGAAAAGAUUGUGAUAAAUAAUCAUGAUUUAUGACGGUACCGACAGAAAAAGCACCGGCUAACUACGUGCCAGCAGCCGCGGUAAUACGUAGGGUGCAAGCGUUAAUCGGAAUUACUGGGCGUAAAGGGUGCGCAGGCGGUUUUGCAAGUCAGAUGUGAAAUCCCCGGGCUUAACCUGGGAAUUGCGUUUGAAACUACAAGGCUAG
This 465-nucleotide ribosomal RNA is filed under the name uncultured bacterium. RNAcentral describes it as "bacterial SSU rRNA". It matches the Rfam family "Bacterial small subunit ribosomal RNA", at positions 198 to 644 of the family's 1533-position model. The record is from RNAcentral.